This 490-nucleotide ribosomal RNA is filed under the name uncultured bacterium. Its description in RNAcentral is "partial 16S ribosomal RNA". It matches the Rfam family "Bacterial small subunit ribosomal RNA", at positions 30 to 507 of the family's 1533-position model. The record is from RNAcentral.
AUUGAACGCUGGCGGCAGGCCUAACACAUGCAAGUCGAACGGUAACAGGAAGCAGCUUGCUGCUUUGCUGACGAGUGGCGGACGGGUGAGUAAUGUCUGGGAAACUACCCGAUGGAGGGGGAUAACUACUGGAAACGGUAGCUAAUACCGCAUAACGUCGCAAGACCAAAGAGGGGGACCUUAGGGCCUCUUGCCAUCGGAUGUGCCCAGAUGGGAUUAGCUAGUAGGUGGGGUAACGGCUCACCUAGGCGACGAUCCCUAGCUGGUCUGAGAGGAUGACCAGCCACACUGGAACUGAGACACGGUCCAGACUCCUACGGGAGGCAGCAGUGGGGAAUAUUGCACAAUGGGCGCAAGCCUGAUGCAGCCAUGCCGCGUGUAUGAAGAAGGCCUUCGGGUUGUAAAGUACUUUCAGCGGGGAGGAAGGGAGUAAAGUUAAUACCUUUGCUCAUUGACGUUACCCGCAGAAGAAGCACCGGCUAACUCCGUG